This 451-nucleotide ribosomal RNA is filed under the name uncultured bacterium. Its description in RNAcentral is "partial 16S ribosomal RNA". It matches the Rfam family "Bacterial small subunit ribosomal RNA", at positions 354 to 796 of the family's 1533-position model. The record is from RNAcentral.
GUGGGGAAUAUUGGACAAUGGGGGGAACCCUGAUCCAGCCAUGCCGCGUGUGUGAAGAAGGCCUUUUGGUUGUAAAGCACUUUAAGCGAGGAGGAGGCUACCGAGAUUAAUACUCUUGGAUAGUGGACGUUACUCGCAGAAUAAGCACCGGCUAACUCUGUGCCAGCAGCCGCGGUAAUACAGAGGGUGCAAGCGUUAAUCGGAUUUACUGGGCGUAAAGCGCGCGUAGGUGACCAAUUAAGUCAAAUGUGAAAUCCCCGAGCUUAACUUGGGAAUUGCAUUCGAUACUGGUUGGCUAGAGUAUGGGAGAGGAUGGUAGAAUUCCAGGUGUAGCGGUGAAAUGCGUAGAGAUCUGGAGGAAUACCGAUGGCGAAGGCAGCCAUCUGGCCUAAUACUGACACUGAGGUGCGAAAGCAUGGGGAGCAAACAGGAUUAGAAACCCGAGUAGUCC